Molecule: long non-coding RNA, 280 nt
Organism: Ficedula albicollis (Collared flycatcher)
Lineage: Eukaryota; Metazoa; Chordata; Aves; Passeriformes; Muscicapidae
Exons: 3
Source: RefSeq, a predicted model, not a curated record
CUGGGGAAAAAAUGUCUGAAACAAAAAACCUGGGCUUGUCUACAGGCAGUUGCUGUACUACCAUCAGUGCAUGUUCCUGUGUGUUUGCCUGCCUUCUACUCUGACCAAAGGUUUGAUAUUAGCAGUGUCUCACUUUGACGUGGCAUGGGAGUUAUGGGAAUUACUGUCUCUUUGGGGAGUCCAGCUAUAGUGGAAAAUAAAGAAACAAGGACCGGAUCUACUAAACCAAAUCCAAGAACAGAAUAGAUCUUACUGGUCUACAUUUCUACAUAAAUGAGAG